AAAGAUCUAUCGACAAGGAUGACCCCCCGUCGGACUAGCUUGUUGGUGAGGUAAAGGCUCCCUCUUGCGAGAUCCGUAUCUGGUCUGAAAGGAUGAUCACGCACUCUGGGACUGAUACACGGCCCAUACUCCUGCGGCAGGCAUCAGGGGGGAAUAUUGGACAAUGGGCGAAAGCCUGAUUCUGCAAUGCCGCGUGAGUGAUGAAUGCCUUAGGGUUGUAAAGCUCUUUUACCCGGGAUGAUAAUGAACCUACCGGGCGAAUAAGCCCCGGCUAACUCCGUGCCAGCAGCC
This 291-nucleotide ribosomal RNA is filed under the name uncultured Sphingomonas sp. RNAcentral describes it as "partial 16S ribosomal RNA". It matches the Rfam family "Bacterial small subunit ribosomal RNA", at positions 202 to 516 of the family's 1533-position model. Lineage: Bacteria; Pseudomonadati; Pseudomonadota; Alphaproteobacteria; Sphingomonadales; Sphingomonadaceae. The record is from RNAcentral.